RNAcentral lists this unclassified non-coding RNA (514 nucleotides) under Hevea brasiliensis (rubber tree). The record is from RNAcentral. Lineage: Eukaryota; Viridiplantae; Streptophyta; Magnoliopsida; Malpighiales; Euphorbiaceae.
CCGAGCCAACAUAAGAAGUAAUCACAAUAAAUAACAGAUCAGUUGUUGCACAAAAUAGAUGUGCAUAAUCACAUUUUUGAACAUGGUGACAGUCUUGCAAUUUGCUGUAUCAAUUUGACAAACUUGUGUCUUAGUAGAGUAAUUUUCAAGUACCCCACUUGCCACUUGUCUCAGCUGUGCAUUCAUGCCCUGAGUUCUACUAAACUAGGAAACAAAGGGGAGAAACUUGCAUACUAGAUUAAAAAAGGGUGAGACAACAGUAUCGUAAAGAAAACAAAGAAAAUCACAACAAAUAAAUUCAGAAUAAUUUCAAUGGGAUGACAAUCGUCCACCAAAUCAAGGAAGUAGAAACAUUCACAAGAAAAAGAUUCGCAGUUUAGCCCAGUACAAACAAUGGUCUCUCAUUGCUCAAAAAUACUUUGGUCCUGAAUUUUAUAAAAUCAGCAGUUUAGAGUUUUUCCAGUUUCCAGUUUCUUAUGUUCUUUAGAGACCUACUUUAGCCAAUAAAGGACCU